CCCGGUAAACGGCGGCCGUAACUAUAACGGUCCUAAGGUAGCGAAAUUCCUUGUCGGGUAAGUUCCGACCUGCACGAAUGGCGUAACGAUGGCCACACUGUCUCCUCCCGAGACUCAGCGAAGUUGAAGUGUUUGUGAUGAUGCAAUCUCCCCGCGGCUAGACGGAAAGACCCCAUGAACCUUUACUGUAGCUUUGCAUUGGACUUUGAACCGGUCUGUGUAGGAUAGGUGGGAGGCUGUGAAGCGUGGACGCCAGUCUGCGUGGAGCCAUCCUUGAAAUACCACCCUGAUCUGUUUGAGGUUCUAACCUUGGUCCGUCAUCCGGAUCGGGGACAGUGCAUGGUAGGCAGUUUGACUGGGGCGGUCUCCUCCCAAAGUGUAACGGAGGAGUACGAAGGUACGCUAGGUACGGUCGGAAAUCGUGCUGAUAGUGCAAUGGCAUAAGCGUGCUUAACUGCGAGACCGACAAGUCGAGCAGGUGCGAAAGCAGGUCAUAGUGAUCCGGUGGUUCUGUAUGGAAGGGCCAUCGCUCAACGGAUAAAAGGUACUCUGGGGAUAACAGGCUGAUACCGCCCAAGAGUUCAUAUCGACGGCGGUGUUUGGCACCUCGAUGUCGGCUCAUCUCAUCCUGGGGCUGUAGCCGGUCCCAAGGGUAUGGCUGUUCGCCAUUUAAAGAGGUACGUGAGCUGGGUUUAAAACGUCGUGAGACAGUUUGGUCCCUAUCUGCCGUGGGCGCUGGAUAUUUGAAGGGGGCUGCUCCUAGUACGAGAGGACCGGAGUGGACGAACCUCUGGUGUACCGGUUGUCACGCCAGUGGCAUCGCCGGGUAGCUAUGUUCGGAAGAGAUAACCGCUGAAAGCAUCUAAGCGGGAAACUCGCCUUAAGAUGAGAUAUCCCCGGGGCUUCGAGCCCCUUGAAGGGUCGUUCAAGACCAGGACGUUGAUAGGUCAGGUGUGUAAGCGCAGUAAUGCGUUCAGCUAACUGAUACUAAUUGCCCGUAAGGCUUGAUCCU
RNAcentral lists this ribosomal RNA (1012 nucleotides) under Paraburkholderia phenoliruptrix AC1100. RNAcentral describes it as "bacterial LSU rRNA". It matches the Rfam family "Bacterial large subunit ribosomal RNA", at positions 1919 to 2925 of the family's 2925-position model. The record is from RNAcentral. Lineage: Bacteria; Pseudomonadati; Pseudomonadota; Betaproteobacteria; Burkholderiales; Burkholderiaceae.